UGGAAACGAUAGCUAAUACCGCAUAACAACAGUUGUUGCAUGACAGCUGUUUGAAAGGGGCAAUUGCUCCACUACCAGAUGGACCUGCGUUGUAUUAGCUAGUUGGUGAGGUAACGGCUCACCAAGGCGACGAUACAUAGCCGACCUGAGAGGGUGAUCGGCCACACUGGGACUGAGACACGGCCCAG
RNAcentral lists this ribosomal RNA (188 nucleotides) under uncultured Streptococcaceae bacterium. RNAcentral describes it as "partial 16S ribosomal RNA". It matches the Rfam family "Bacterial small subunit ribosomal RNA", at positions 151 to 334 of the family's 1533-position model. The record is from RNAcentral. Lineage: Bacteria; Bacillati; Bacillota; Bacilli; Lactobacillales; Streptococcaceae.